AUCAACUUUCGAUUGGUAGGAUAGAGGCCUACCAUGGUGGUAACGGGUAACGGGGUGUUAGGGCACGACACCGGAGAGGGAGCCUGAGAAACGGCUACCACAUCCAAGGAAGGCAGCAGGCGCGCAAAUUACCCAAUCCCGACACGGGGAGGUAGUGACAAUAAAUAACAAUACAGGGUUCUUUUGGAUCUUGUAAUUGGAAUGAGUACAAUUUAAAUCUCUUAACGAGGAACAAUUGGAGGGCAAGUCUGGUGCCAGCAGCCGCGGUAAUUCCAGCUCCAAUAGCGUAUAUUAAAGUUGUUGCAGUUAAAAAGCUCGUAGUUGAAUUUCGGGAUCAAGGAAUCGGUCAUGCCUUGGUAUGUACUGGUUUUAUUGGUUCUCACCUUCUAAAGAACCAUAAUGUCAUUCAUUUGAUGUUAUGGGGAAUUAGGACUGUUACCUUGAAAAAAUUAGAGUGUUUAAAGCAGGCUUACGCUUGAAUACAUUAGCAUGGAAUAAUGAAAUAGGACAUCAGAUUCUAUUUUGUUGGUUUCUAGGAUCGAUGUAAUGAUUAAUAGGGAUAGUUGGGGGCAUUAGUAUUCAAUUGUCAGAGGUGAAAUUCUUGGAUUUAUUGAAGACUAACUACUGCGAAAGCAUUUGCCAAGGAUGUUUUCAUUAAUCAAGAACGAAAGUUAGGGGAUCGAAGACGAUCAGAUACCGUCGUAGUCUUAACCAUAAACUAUGCCGACUAGGGAUCGGAUGAUGUUAAUUUUAUAAUGACUCAUUCGGCACCUUACGGGAAACCAAAGUGUUUGGGUAAUCAC
This 803-nucleotide ribosomal RNA is filed under the name uncultured Glomus. RNAcentral's name for it is "SSU rRNA". It matches the Rfam family "Eukaryotic small subunit ribosomal RNA", at positions 314 to 1116 of the family's 1831-position model. Lineage: Eukaryota; Fungi; Glomeromycota; Glomeromycetes; Glomerales; Glomeraceae. The record is from RNAcentral.